UUUCAAGUAAUCCAGGAUAGGCU
RNAcentral lists this non-coding RNA (23 nucleotides) under Gallus gallus (chicken). The record is from RNAcentral. RNAcentral also lists the same sequence under 1 other name. Lineage: Eukaryota; Metazoa; Chordata; Aves; Galliformes; Phasianidae.